Molecule: non-coding RNA, 120 nt
Filed under: Serpula lacrymans var. lacrymans S7.3
Lineage: Eukaryota; Fungi; Basidiomycota; Agaricomycetes; Boletales; Serpulaceae
Description: Eukaryotic small subunit ribosomal RNA
Rfam family: Eukaryotic small subunit ribosomal RNA
Source: Rfam by way of RNAcentral
UUUGUACUGUGAAACUGCGAAUGGCUCAUUAAAUCAGUUAUAGUUUAUUUGAUGAUAUCUUGCUACAUGGAUAACUGUGGUAAUUCUAGAGCUAAUACAUGCAAUCAAGCCCCGACUUCC